GGUCGCCAAACGCUAUUGUUUUACUUCAGCGUAUUCCUAACUGCCCUUACUGUUCAAACACGCAAUACAUGACGUGCUUUUUAUCUGUUUGCGUCUUUACUUCCGGGUUUGAUCGUUGUGGUUUGUAACCAUCUUGCGACUUUUAUAUUGAAGUGUGCCAUAUGAACAAAUUUGCCUUGCCCUGCCUUCAAUUAACAUGCGAUUUGUUUUCACCUACCAUUUAGUCCAAAUCUUGUAGGCGACGCGGGCGAGCGACACGUCGUCAUCCAUCUCGACUGUCAUGUUUUUGUUUUUUCCCCAAAAUGUGUGAAUGUGUCUCUCAUCGAACAAAUUUCCUAUGUUAAAUCCUAUGUAUCCCAUGAAAUCGUAGCCAUUGAUCUCGCCAUCGGAUUGCAUGCAUCUGAUCACCUCAUCACCUCGGAUGGCGUCGCCACUUUUCCAGGACGCAGAAUUCGUUUUGAGAGUGCGGUCAGCAUUGCCGCAGAGAUUGAAGAGGUGGGGUCAGCCUGUUAGUGCUCAGACCAUACGCUACACUCUACAUCAAAUUGGUGUGCAUGGCUAUCAACCCAGGAGGAAGCCUCUUCUGAAGACGGUACACAAGAAAGCCCGCAAACAGUUUGCUGAUGUCAACAAAGCACAUGGAUUACUGGAACAAUGUCCUGUGGUCUGAUGAGACAGAUGAGCGUUCUGAUCACCCACGGCAACCUUCACUGCAUCCUGCUUCUUAUUGAUCCUGUUCCUCCAGUCAUCCUCACCGCUCUUCUUCAGCAAAGCCACUCUAUAUCCCGAAGGCCUCCAAAACAACAACCCCUGCAUGAGAAUACAAAGUACAUUAAUAGAAAGCACAAGGACUAUUUAAACACACAAUGGAGGGAAGAAAAAACAAGAGCAGAGGUUCAAUGACUGUAUCAGAUGUGACCCACAGAGGAAGGCCAGUGCGCUCACUGACCCAGUGAAGGGAUGUCCUGUUCUGCCUCGAGGGCUCAACACAUCCAAAACAGGAUGAAAUAACCUCAGAAAGCUAUCACAAUUUGUGGAUACCAAUAAAAUUUUGUCUGGGAAAAUACUGUUCGGGUGAGGCUAAAAAAAAAAGAUAAAACUAGACAAACAAAAAAACUUAACUACGGGCAUACACAUUGUUCCGUUAUGUCAUCAGUCAAUAUAGACUGUCAUGACUGUCUGGUUAGUGCAGUCUAAACAGUUACUGAAAAUGUGACAUAACUCAGUUUAUAUAAUUCUUGGCAGUAAUCAAUACCAGGAUGUGAUUCACACCAUUUUAGUGUUCUCAACAGUAGUGCUCAUGUUUUCCUUCAUUUAAAAAACAUUAAUUCAAAUAGCCUUCUUACGUAAGUAAAAUAAUACCGCCCAGAAACAAAUGAACAACUCAUUCAUACGCACAAUUUUUCUCCCAUUCAUAUUAUUGUAAUGUGUCAUUACCUCACUUUUUUCCCCACUUAUUAUUGAGCAGUUAAUCAAGCAUAAAGUUGCAUAACGACAGUCAUGUGAAAAAGUUAAGAACCCUAUGGAAGCCUGUGUGUUUUCUAACAUAUUUGGACAUAUGGAUAUUUAAUAUCAAUUUUAAAAAUCUUGAGAGAUCCAAGUAAUAGAGCCAAACAAUUAAAACAAAAGAUUUUUUUAUGACUUUCUGUAAAAUGAUAUUUUAAAUGAAUGCAACUUCUGCUGAGGAAUAAGUUAGGACACCCCCACAUUCAAUCCCACUUAAAAUGGCUAAAAUCACACAGAGGGGUAUCACAUCAGGUGCACGUGAUUAGAACAUCAUUACCCAGUGUUUACCCAGAAGGCUUAUUUAAACCUCAAAUUUAGUUUGGUGUGCCCCUGACUGUUCAAGUGAGAGAAAACCCCAUGGUGAGAGCAAAGGAGCUAUAUGAGGCCUUCAGAAAGAAGAUUGUAGAUGCUUAUGAGUCUGUUAAGGGAUUUCAAAAGAAUAUAAAAUCAGCCAUUCCACUGUUCAGAAAAAAAGUCUACAAGUGGAGGACAUUCAAAACAACUGUCAACAUGCCCAGGUCUGGCCGUCCCAGCAAGUUCACCCUGAGAGCAAACAGAAAGAUGUCUCAAAAAAAACCUUUAAAUUCAUCACGGGACCUACAGCCGGCUUUUGCUACUGUUGAUGGGAAAGUGAAUGCCUCUACAAUUAGACACUUUAUAAGUUUAACCUUCAUGGGAGAUGUGCAAGGAGGAAACCUUUGCUCUCCAGGAAGAACAUGAAGGCCAGACUGAAGUUUGCCAGAGUGAAUGCAGACAAAGACCAGGACUUCUGGAAUAAAGUUCUUUGGACAGAUUAAUCUAAAAUUUAAUUAUUUGGAUAUGUUUGGCGUGAACCCAAUACAGCAUUCCAGGAAAAGAACCUCAUACCAACUGUGAAGCAUGGAGGUGGAAGUGUCAUGGUUUGGGGAUGCUUUGCUACAGCAGGACCUGGCCAGCUCACCAUCAUAGAAUCCAAAAUGAAUUCUAUAGUGUAUCAGAGUGUGCUUGAGGAACAUGUGAGAUCAUCUGUGAAAAAUUAAAGCUGAAGCGAAAAUGGACCCUACAACAUGACAAUGACCCAAAACAUACCAGUAAAUCCACCAAGGACUGGCUGAAAAGGAAGAAAUGGAGGGUCCUCAAAUGGCCAAGUCAAAGCCCAGAUUUUAAUCCCAUUGAGAUGCUGUAAAGUGACUUGAAACUGGCUGUACAUGCAAGAAACCCCUCAAACAUCUUACAGCUGAAAGUAUUCUGCGUUGAGGAGUGGGGCAAACUUCCUUCAGACCGAUGUCAAAGACUCUUAGACGGCUACAAAAAGUAUCUCAGUGAAGUUAUUUCAGCCAAAGGGGAUAACACUAGCUAUUCGGUGGUAGGGUGUCCCAACUUUUUCCCCAGUUAGAAUAUGCAUUUUUGUUGAUAUGUUUGGUUUAAUGAGUAAAAUAGUGUUAUUUUUUGUUGUUUACCUGCAAUUAAAUCACUUUCUUUUCCAGAGAUAAAGAAAAGCAAGAUCAGACAUUGAUACGUGAACAUUUCUUUAUGAAGAACUGAAUAUUUAACGAGGUGUCCAAAUUUUUUCACAUGACUGUACAUCAAAAAGGGCAAGACAGUGAAUUACCAGUUGUUGUUUUUUUACCUAUCUGCAUUAAUGGUCAAUAAGUGUUUUUGAUAAAAUAUUUUUACUUUGUAUUUUUUUUUAUUUAAGCGUAGCCAUUAAUGAAUUAGUUUGCAAAUAAGCAUAAUAAAACAUCACAUUACAUUGUGAGAAGACAUUUUCUAUAUAAAUAUUCACUUUUCUUACCUCGCCACUGUGAAUAGUGAGUAACUUGAAUAUUUCUGUACUAACAUAUGCAACCUCUUUGGUGAUAAACAUUUAUAAAACAUCCGCUGCCGGAAAGCUUACCUCUGUUUGAUGGACAUAUGUUUAGCUGUCAUAGUGUCACACAUCUCGUCCUCCAGUUCGGUUGUAAAUUCCUUGUAAUCAGAGUGCGUGUCUGCUUCUGGAGGCUGGCAUACACUCCUAGAUGAGGCAGAUGCCGCUCUGGUCCUCACAUAAGUGGGCUCGGGCAGCUCUACAACAGAUAAAUAUGCAGCAAUACAAUCAAUAAGAGUUGCAGGGUAUUGGCUGAAAAGAACUGUUAGAUAUCUCUGAUUAGGAGGUUGGCAAUUUUUCUUUCCUAACUUUAAGGUCGUGUUUUAAAAUUUUCACACUUGCAAAGUUUCUGCUUAAAGCACAAUUCAUUUAAGUUAAUGUCGCUUUUUGUUGCACACCGUUUUUAUAUGGCCAGUGACAUCACUGCCCAGAGUGCAUUGUGUCGUCAACAACAAUGGCGACCUACUAGUUAAGCUAAUUUUACAAUUUUUUAAAGACGAAAACAUUAAGAGGGGUUUUAAUAUCAAAUUAUUACAAACUCAUACUAUCAUUUAUCUUUUGAGAAUUACAUGUCUUUAU
This is a long non-coding RNA of Corythoichthys intestinalis (scribbled pipefish), 3931 nucleotides long. RefSeq lists it as uncharacterized. The transcript has 4 exons. NCBI's taxonomy places the organism in Eukaryota, Metazoa, Chordata, Actinopteri, Syngnathiformes, Syngnathidae. The record is from RefSeq and is a predicted model, not a curated record.